Molecule: ribosomal RNA, 254 nt
Filed under: uncultured bacterium
Lineage: Bacteria
Description: partial 16S ribosomal RNA
Rfam family: Bacterial small subunit ribosomal RNA
Source: RNAcentral
UACAGAGGUCCCAAGCGUUGUUCGGAUUCAUUGGGCGUAAAGGGUGCGUAGGCGGCGCGGUAAGUCGGGUGUGAAAUCUCGGGGCUUAACUCCGAAACUGCAUUCGAUACUGCCGUGCUUGAGGACUGGAGAGGAGACUGGAAUUUACGGUGUAGCGGUGAAAUGCGCAGAUAUCGGGAAGAACACCCGUGGCGAAGGCGGUUCUCUGGGACGGUACUGACGCUGAGACGCGAAAGCGUGGGGAGCGAACAGGG